GGUCAAGUGAAGAAGCGCAUACGGUGGAUGCCUUGGCAGUCAGAGGCGAUGAAAGACGUGGUAGCCUGCGAAAAGCUUCGGGGAGUCGGCAAACAGACUGUGAUCCGGAGAUGUCUGAAUGGGGGAACCCAGCCAUCACAAGAUGGUUAUCUUACACUGAAUACAUAGGUGUAAGAGGCGAACCAGGGGAACUGAAACAUCUAAGUACCCUGAGGAAAAGAAAUCAACCGAGAUUCCCUUAGUAGUGGCGAGCGAACGGGGACCAGCCCUUAAGUUGUAUUGAGAUUAGCGGAACGCUCUGGAAAGUGCGGCCAUAGUGGGUGAUAGCCCUGUACGCGAAAAUCCCUUUGCAAUGAAAUCGAGUAGGACGGGGCACGAGAAACCUUGUCUGAAUAUGGGGGGACCAUCCUCCAAGGCUAAAUACUACUGACUGACCGAUAGUGAACCAGUACCGUGAGGGAAAGGCGAAAAGAACCGCGGAGAGCGGAGUGAAAUAGAUCCUGAAACCGUAUGCGUACAAGCAGUGGGAGCCCACUUUGUUGGGUGACUGCGUACCUUUUGUAUAAUGGGUCAGCGACUUAUUUUCAGUGGCGAGCUUAACCGAAUAGGGGAGGCGUAGCGAAAGCGAGUCUUAAUAGGGCGUCUAGUCGCUGGGAAUAGACCCGAAACCGGGCGAUCUAUCCAUGGGCAGGUUGAAGGUUGGGUAACACUAACUGGAGGACCGAACCGACUACCGUUGAAAAGUUAGCGGAUGACCUGUGGAUCGGAGUGAAAGGCUAAUCAAGCUCGGAGAUAGCUGGUUCUCCUCGAAAGCUAUUUAGGUAGCGCCUCAUGUAUCACUGUAGGGGGUAGAGCACUGUUUCGGCUAGGGGGUCAUCCCGACUUACCAAACCGAUGCAAACUCCGAAUACCUACAAGUGCCGAGCAUGGGAGACACACGGCGGGUGCUAACGUCCGUCGUGAAAAGGGAAACAACCCAGACCGUCAGCUAAGGUCCCAAAGUCAUGGUUAAGUGGGAAACGAUGUGGGAAGGCUUAGACAGCUAGGAGGUUGGCUUAGAAGCAGCCACCCUUUAAAGAAAGCGUAAUAGCUCACUAGUCGAGUCGGCCUGCGCGGAAGAUGUAACGGGGCUCAAACCAUGCACCGAAGCUACGGGUAUCACCUUUGGUGAUGCGGUAGAGGAGCGUUCUGUAAGCCUGUGAAGGUGAGUUGAGAAGCUUGCUGGAGGUAUCAGAAGUGCGAAUGCUGACAUGAGUAACGACAAUGGGUGUGAAAAACACCCACGCCGAAAGACCAAGGUUUCCUGCGCAACGUUAAUCGACGCAGGGUUAGUCGGUCCCUAAGGCGAGGCUGAAAAGCGUAGUCGAUGGAAAACAGGUUAAUAUUCCUGUACUUCUGGUUAUUGCGAUGGAGGGACGGAGAAGGCUAGGCCAGCCUGGCGUUGGUAGUCCAGGUUUAAGGUGGUAGGCUGAGAUCUUAGGUAAAUCCGGGAUCUUAAGGCCGAGAGCUGAUGACGAGUGUUCUUUUAGAACAUGAAGUGGUUGAUGCCAUGCUUCCAAGAAAAGCUUCUAAGCUUCAGGUAACCAGGAACCGUACCCCAAACCGACACAGGUGGUUGGGUAGAGAAUACCAAGGCGCUUGAGAGAACUCGGGUGAAGGAACUAGGCAAAAUGGCACCGUAACUUCGGGAGAAGGUGCGCCGGUGAGGGUGAAGCAUUUACUGCGUAAGCCCACGCCGGUCGAAGAUACCAGGCCGCUGCGACUGUUUAUUAAAAACACAGCACUCUGCAAACACGAAAGUGGACGUAUAGGGUGUGACGCCUGCCCGGUGCCGGAAGGUUAAUUGAUGGGGUUAGCGCAAGCGAAGCUCUUGAUCGAAGCCCCGGUAAACGGCGGCCGUAACUAUAACGGUCCUAAGGUAGAGAAAUUCCUUGUCGGGUAAGUUCCGACCUGCACGAAUGGCGUAACGAUGGCGGCGCUGUCUCCACCCGAGACUCAGUGAAAUUGAAAUCGCUGUGAAGAUGCAGUGUAUCCGCGGCUAGACGGAAAGACCCCGUGAACCUUUACUAUAGCUUUGCACUGGACUUUGAAUUUGCUUGUGUAGGAUAGGUGGGAGGCUUUGAAGCGUGGACGCCAGUCUGCGUGGAGCCAACCUUGAAAUACCACCCUGGCAACUUUGAGGUUCUAACUCAGGUCCGUUAUCCGGAUCGAGGACAGUGUAUGGUGGGUAGUUUGACUGGGGCGGUCUCCUCCUAAAGAGUAACGGAGGAGUACGAAGGUGCGCUCAGACCGGUCGGAAAUCGGUCGUAGAGUAUAAAGGCAAAAGCGCGCUUGACUGCGAGACAGACACGUCGAGCAGGUACGAAAGUAGGUCUUAGUGAUCCGGUGGUUCUGUAUGGAAGGGCCAUCGCUCAACGGAUAAAAGGUACUCCGGGGAUAACAGGCUGAUACCGCCCAAGAGUUCAUAUCGACGGCGGUGUUUGGCACCUCGAUGUCGGCUCAUCACAUCCUGGGGCUGAAGCCGGUCCCAAGGGUAUGGCUGUUCGCCAUUUAAAGUGGUACGCGAGCUGGGUUUAGAACGUCGUGAGACAGUUCGGUCCCUAUCUGCCGUGGACGUUUGAGAUUUGAGAGGGGCUGCUCCUAGUACGAGAGGACCGGAGUGGACGAACCUCUGGUGUUCCGGUUGUCACGCCAGUGGCAUUGCCGGGUAGCUAUGUUCGGAAAAGAUAACCGCUGAAAGCAUCUAAGCGGGAAACUUGCCUCAAGAUGAGAUCUCACUGGAACCUAGAGUUCCCUGAAGGGCCGUCGAAGACUACGACGUUGAUAGGUUGGGUGUGUAAGCGCUGUGAGGCGUUGAGCUAACCAAUACUAAUUGCCCGUGAGGCUUGACCAU
This 2893-nucleotide ribosomal RNA is filed under the name Pseudomonas syringae pv. actinidiae. Its description in RNAcentral is "23S ribosomal RNA". It matches the Rfam family "Bacterial large subunit ribosomal RNA". Lineage: Bacteria; Pseudomonadati; Pseudomonadota; Gammaproteobacteria; Pseudomonadales; Pseudomonadaceae. The record is from RNAcentral.